AGCUACAAUUACAAAACCAGAAUGGUAAAUGCUACCCAAGCAUUACAGAGUCAGGCAAGUUGGUCAGGGAGGUAGUGUGCUGAGUAAGGAAGGAGAAAGAGAGAUCCAGGAAUCAUGGAAUGAACUGUUUUCAUGGAAGGUGCUCUUCCUUCCUGAGAAGCCAUCAGGAAUGUCCAUGCUGACCCUGUGCAAAGUUGGAAGUACACCUGUAGUACCUAUAGUAUUUCUUUAACCCUCUGCCCAAAGUGCUUGCAAGAGCAGGGAUCCAUUACUACAGAGAGGGAAAAACUAAAAUGUGAGAGAGAGUGGCUGUCCCAAGGUUCCAGCCAGUGAUGGCACAGGUCCAUCUCCAAGACAGUGCUCUUCAUUGCUCUUGCUGCCAACUUCUCAGCUCCUCACCAAGUACCAAAAGUCUGGACUUCCUUUCUUCUGCUGCUGUUUUUUGCAUAGCUAAGGUUCUCCCAAACCUUGCUGGAAUAAGCUUUUUGAAGGUAUAAAAGCAAGACUAUGGAUAAUCUUUACAAUGAGCUAGGUUUCCUACAUGCAAGCCAUCAGCUACCCUGCCCUGGUCUCCAGAGUCUCCAGCACUGCAUUCAUACAAGUAAUCUAAAUAAUGCCAGGGAGCGGUGUCAUCGUUGUCACAUUGUCAGUAGUGAUAUCCCUGGUAUGUCUUCAGCCUAGGGCUCUGUUGAAAGGUUCCUGGGGACAGUUUGGUUGUUAACACAGGCAAGGGACCAUUCUCAAAUGACAGCUUGUACAUGGCCAUUGGCCUUGGAGGCUACAGGAAUUUAGCCAUGUGGAAUGGGCUGAUUCACAGCACUUGAUCUUGGUGCCAAAGGGUGGUGUUACAAACAUUUAAUUUACCUGCAUAUAUGUAGCCUAAGUGGUUAGCUCUGCUCCACAAUUACAUCUACCUAGAGACCUCACAGGUCGAGUUUUUACAUUAACAGCCUGUCUUGUAAAUGCUGUAUCUGCAAUCCUUCACUGUAAAGAGGAAAAUACUACCGAGAAGAUUCAGGGCUGGGUUCACUUGCACUUUCCACAUCACUAAAUCAAGGUCCAGGAAAACUUUUAAUUGUCCUUGUGCCUUUGGCUCUUAUUAAAACUGUCAGUUCAGACUUGAUCUGUGCUGCAGGGUGAAGCCCUGCAGAAAGAAUAGAGACGGAACUUAACACCUCCCUGUUCCAAGUGCAAACCAGCAGCUGCCUGCCAGCCAGACACUCAUUUUGUUUCAUACAGAAGUCCAUCAUAUCAAAUAAUUUUCAGCUGUGCUUUUCUUCUGGCCAUGGAGUGAGGACCCCAAAAUAGCCUAUUUUGACUUACUAAGCUGGUGGGAUCAGUGUGAACCGCAGAAAAAAGCAGAGCUCCCCGUAAACUGCUGAAGUGACCCACACAGUGGUAAGGUCUUCAAAAAUUUUAUCAGUAUUGGUAAGUCCUAUAUUACAUAUUUUUUUCCUGCUAAAAUCUGAUGAUCUUCUCAUAAGGAAAUGUGCUUUGUGCAGGUGCUAAAAUAGGCACCUGGUGUCUCUCUGCAGGCUGCAGGGCACCCAAGAAAUCCACAUGGUGCUGGUAGAGGAGGUAGACAGUGUAGGAAAGCCCCAUUCUUCUCUGAGGUGUGGCUUUCUCAGAUGGUCUCAGGUGCACAAACCUGCAUGUGAGUGUUUGGGUGGACAGGAGCAGGCAAGUGGGCAAGGCAAAGCAAGCAUGUUGGCCUGUAUCAGAUAUAAAAGGCAGAAACUUAUAUUGCCUAAAUACUGAUGUCAGCACAACCCACACCAACUCGCAGUCUGUGUGAAGGGCUGUGGCCAGACAGUUGUGAACACAUGCCACUGUAAUGUAUUAGGAAUUCAAGGUCCUUGCUAAUAGGGCAUUUGACAUCCCAAUGUGUGUAAGUGGCUUCGUCCAUGCAGCUCUCACUGACCAGAGAGAUGUCUUAAACUUUAGUGCGAGCACUAAAUAAAUGCAAGGACUGCAGGAUUUGAGGGAUGUAUCCGCAUAAUGUGUUCCUGUUCACAGCCAGUUUUCCAGCUCCCUUUCUUAUAUACAGUACCCGCUUGUACUCGGUUGCUUUUCCACGUGUUUCACAGCCUAAGGGGAGAGAAACCAGAGUGAGUUUCUUCCAAACUGCAAAUGCCUUCACGUUUCAUCUGUGUACCGGGAAACACCUCACAAGGAGGCUUGCUGCUGUAAAUCCCUUCACCAGGAGAUGGUGCUCCUGCCCUGGGAGUGAUCCCUCACAGAAAGCCCGGGUACCCCUGAUACUCCGCUUGCUGCUGGUGCUCAGUCCUGCUGCAGCCACCCAGCCCCUCUGCUGAGGUGGGUCAGGAUGGCCCUGUGGAAGGAUUUCUUCUCCUCUGAGCUUCUCAUGCUACUCAACAGCUGAAGGAGAAAGAGGCCCAGGGCAUGAAA
This is a long non-coding RNA of Pezoporus occidentalis (night parrot), 2409 nucleotides long. RefSeq lists it as uncharacterized. The record is from RefSeq and is a predicted model, not a curated record. Lineage: Eukaryota; Metazoa; Chordata; Aves; Psittaciformes; Psittacidae. The transcript is spliced from 2 exons.